UACGGGGGGGGCAAGCGUUGUUCGGAAUUACUGGGCGUAAGGGCUCGUAGGCGGCCAACCAAGUCGGAUGUGAAAUCCCCAGGCUUAACUUGGGAACUGCAUCCGAUACUGGAUGGCUUGAAUCCGGGAGAGGGAUGCGGAAUUCCAGGUGUAGCGGUGAAAUGCGUAGAUAUCUGGAGGAAUACCGGUGGCGAAAGCGACUCUCUGGACGGCAACUGACGCUGAGGCACGAAAGCGUGGGGAGCAAACAGG
RNAcentral lists this ribosomal RNA (252 nucleotides) under uncultured bacterium. RNAcentral describes it as "partial 16S ribosomal RNA". It matches the Rfam family "Bacterial small subunit ribosomal RNA", at positions 524 to 776 of the family's 1533-position model. The record is from RNAcentral.